CCUACGGGUGGCAGCAGUGAGGAAUAUUGGUCAAUGGCCGGAAGGCUGAACCAGCCAUGCCGCGUGAAGGGCAGGGCCCUAUGGGCGUUAAACUUCUUUUGUGCGGGAGCAAGAAUGGUCACGUGUGGCCAGACGAGAGUACCGUACGAAUAAGCAGCGGCUAACUCCGUGCCAGCAGCCGCGGUAAGACGGGGGAUGCAAGCGUUAUCCGGCUUUAGUGGGUUUAAAGGGUGCGUAGGCUGUGAGGUAAGUCAGCGGUGAAAUGCCCCCGCUCAACGGGGUGAAGUGCCAUUGAUACUGCCUUGCUGGACUGCGGCUGCCUUGGGAGGACUGUGUGGUGUAGCGGUG
This 348-nucleotide ribosomal RNA is filed under the name uncultured bacterium. RNAcentral's name for it is "partial 16S ribosomal RNA". It matches the Rfam family "Bacterial small subunit ribosomal RNA", at positions 338 to 683 of the family's 1533-position model. The record is from RNAcentral.